GGUCUUAUAUUCAAAAUUAAUGAUAUAAAAUUGCAAAUUUUAAGGUAUAAAAAAUUAUUAAGGCUU
Molecule: transfer RNA, 66 nt
Filed under: Maruca testulalis
Lineage: Eukaryota; Metazoa; Arthropoda; Insecta; Lepidoptera; Crambidae
Also listed under: 1 other name
Description: tRNA-Cys
Source: RNAcentral